Apodemus sylvaticus (European woodmouse) is the source of this 602-nucleotide long non-coding RNA. RefSeq lists it as uncharacterized. Lineage: Eukaryota; Metazoa; Chordata; Mammalia; Rodentia; Muridae. The record is from RefSeq and is a predicted model, not a curated record. The transcript is spliced from 3 exons.
GUGGAGGUGGGCUUUAAGAGAGCUUCCUCUUAGCUGCCUAGAAGAGAGUCUUCUCCCUGAUGCCUUCAGAUGAAGACGUAGAGUUCUCCUCCUGCACCAUGUUUGCUUGGACCCGCCAAGCUUCCCACCAUGACAACAAUGAACUAAACCUCUGAAACUCACUGAGAUUCAGUUGGAUCAAGAAGUAAAUGAACUCAGAACAGUGCCAAGGCAAUGGUGACCCUGUGUCCCCUGUGCCUGCUGAGAAAGUGACAGCAGAGAAAGCAUGGCCGGCACAGGCACAAGGGAGCACAUCAUCUGGAGCACAUCAUCUGGAGCACAUCAUCUGGCCGCUUUCACCUGGGUUUGCAGUGCUGUUUACACAGUUAAGUCUCUUUACUUUAGGGUCUCUCACGGAACCUAAGAUCUGGGAUCUGCCCGUCUCUGUCGCCUGACUGUUACAGGGGUGCUGGGGAUUUGAACUCGUACUGCCCUGCUCGCUCAGCAAGUGUUUGGAUUCACUGAGCAUCUCCCCAGCUCCACGAGGGAGUUUCUCAUCCCACUCUGAGCCUUGGAAGGCUAACUCAUAUGGAUUGCAAACACAGAUUCCCUUCCAACUGGUA